This 1571-nucleotide ribosomal RNA is filed under the name Pristimantis prolatus. RNAcentral's name for it is "partial 16S ribosomal RNA". It matches the Rfam family "Bacterial large subunit ribosomal RNA", at positions 393 to 2925 of the family's 2925-position model. Lineage: Eukaryota; Metazoa; Chordata; Amphibia; Anura; Strabomantidae. The record is from RNAcentral.
CUAAAAAUUAUAGCCCCCAUAAAUUUUCUUCCCUCUAAAAAACAAAUAAAAUAUUUUAACCCAUAAGUAAAGAAGAUUGAAUACCUAUCCUGAGCUAUAAAUAUGUACCGCAAGGGAAAAAUGAAAUAAAAAUGAAAAACCUUAAGCACAAAAAAGUAGAGACCCACCCUCGCACCUUUUGCAUCAUGGUUUAGCUAGUCUAAUUAGGCAAAAAGACCUUUAAGUCUAACUCCCCGAAACUAAGUGAGCUACUUUGGGGCUGCUAAAUGAGCUAACCCGUCUAUGUUGCAAAAUAGUGGGAAGAACCCAAAAUAGAGGUAACAAGCCUAACGAACUUAGUCAUAGCUGGUUUCUCAAGAAAAGAAUUUUAGUCCAACCUAAAGUAACACAAAUUAACAAAAAUAUUCACCCUUACUUUAGAGCAACUCAAAUGAGGUACAGCCCAUUUGAUACAGGAUCCAACCUUCACAAACGGGUAAAUUAUACCAAAUUUUAAAUCUACAAGUAGGCCUAAAAACAGCCACCUUUAAAAAAGCGUCAAACCUUAAACAUUUUUCAUUUUAAUAUACAAAAUCCCACUGACCCCUUAAUUUAUACUGAGAACUUCUAUAAUAGUUAUAGAACCUUUUAUGCUAGAACUAGUAAUAAGAGACUCACCUCUCUAAUUAUGCAAGUAUAAGCCGACAAGAACCCAUCACCGGCAAUUAACAGACUUAAACAAAAGUAGUAACUUCAAUAGAAAACUCUACUUAUAUUAUACCCUGUCAACCUUACACUAGAGCAUUUAAAGAAAGAUUAAAAGAAAAAGAAGGAACUCGGCAAAUAUUUAACCCCGCCUGUUUACCAAAAACAUCGCCUCUUGUUUCCCCAUUAGAGGUCCAGCCUGCCCAGUGACUCUUGUUCAACGGCCGCGGUAUCCUAACCGUGCAAAGGUAGCGUAAUCACUUGUUUUCUAAAUAAAGACCAGUAUGAAAGGCACCACGAGGGCUAAACUGUCUCCUUUUUUCGAUCAAUGAAACUAAUCUCCCCGUGAAGAAGCGGGGAUCAAUAUAUAAGACGAGAAGACCCUGUGGAGCUUAAAACAUCAUAUAUACCUGCCACUUUUACUUAUAAAAAUACCCCCCCCCGCAGACUAAUUAUAUGUUUUUGGUUGGGGUGACCGCGGAAAAUAACCCAUCCUCCGCGAUGAAAGGGAACUACCCCCUAAAAACAAGCCACAACUUUAUGUAUCAACUAAUUGACAUCCAUUGACCCAAUACUUUGAUUAACGAACCAAGUUACCCCAGGGAUAACAGCGCAAUCCACUUUAAGAGCUCCUAUCGACAAGUGGGCUUACGACCUCGAUGUUGGAUCAGGGUAUCCAAGUGGUGCAACCGCUACUAAAGGUUCGUUUGUUCAACGAUUAAAACCCUACGUGAUCUGAGUUCAGACCGGAGCAAUCCAGGUCAGUUUCUAUCUAUACAGGGCUUUUUUUAGUACGAAAGGACCAAAACAGCAUGGCCCAUACUAUAGCAAGCCAUAAUUAAUCAUUUUAGAACUCCCCUUAAAAAAAUAUUAACCUAACACCACCU